AUAAGACCAACACACUAUCCAAGAAUUCAAGAUAAGAUCAAAGACAAAGCUUGGAUUUUUGUGAGAAAUCAAGGAGUCAUCCAUUGAAGAUCCAAGGGUGGACAUUGAGUGGCCAAGGCUAUAAAUAGAAGGCUAAUCCCCUCAUUUUCACUCACCACACUACAAGCAAACUCAAGAGCUUUCACUCCACACUUGCCCACACGUUUUUGCCUUCAAGCUUCCAAACUUUCAAGUGCUCAAGUGUCCUAGCUUUCCAAAGCUUCAAAAGCUCUCCAACUUCUUCUUCUAAUCUUCUUGUUCAUCUUUACAAGUAAGAAGUGUUGUUUGCUUUAAUAUUCCACUCCUCUAAUCACCUCUUGUGUGUGUCCACUUUGGUUGAGAGGGUUGUCUCAAUAGUACCAAAGUGUGAGAGAAGGUUUUUGAGCUCAACCAUAAAGCUCUAGUUUGGUUUUAUAGAGUUUCCGGGAAAACUCUUAGGUCAAAUCUAUCUUGAAAGAUUUUUAGGUUUUUAAGAGUUCCUUGAUACUCUAAGGUACUAACUUACCCGUAAAAGUUAGAGGUUCUUAAGAGUGCCCUUGAUACUCUAAGGUGUGAGUCUACCCGUAAAAGACUGGUUCAUAAGCGAAGUAGCCUUAAAGCUUAGAGAGGUUUUUAAAAGUUCCUUGAUACUCUAAGGUACUAACUUACCCGCAAAAGUUAGAAGUUCUUAAGAGUGCCCUUGAUACUCUAAGGUGUGAGUCUACCCGUAAAAGACUGAUUCCUAAGCGAAGUAGCCUUAAAGCUUAGAGAGGUUCUUAAGAGUUUCCUUGAUACUCUAAGGUUUUGCCAUAACCUUUAGGCGAGUGAAUUCCGACAGUUGGUCGGAACUGGACUAGCCCUUGUUUGGGUGAACCAGUAUAAAUCUCUUGUGUUAUUCUUUGUUAACUCUAGUUUUUAUCUUUCAUCUAAAAACAACUAAACAACACUUAAUUGAAAAUGAUCCCUCUUCCAGUUAUCUGGUCAAAUACAGAGGUUGACUACUUUACGCAGAUCCCUCAUCCAGUUAUCUGGUCAACUAUCUGAGGUUAUAUUCAUUGCUUUAAAUCUUUAUUCAUAUAUUUGUUCAAGCAUUUACUUAUCAUAUAUAUAUCCAGUUAUCUGGUCAUUUACUUGUUUAUCAAUAUAUUCAGUUAUCUGGUCAUUUACUUGCUUAUCAAUAUAUCCAGUUAUCUGGUCAUUUACUCUAUAAUAUAACUUGUGUUUAUAAUAUAACUUAGUAUUCAUAUACUAUAGUUGUUUAUAAAACACCAUCUGAAAAGUUGACUACGUAUUCAUAUAUUGUAGUAAACUUCUAGAGCAAAAGGCAAGUCCAAUAUAUAUAAUAAUUAUAUAAUAGUAUUGUAUUGCUAACAAUAUUAUACUAUUAUUAUUAUACAACCAUUUGUGUACUUAAGUGUGUGCAGGUAAUUCCGCUAUUAACUUGCAUAAAUCGAAAAGAGACUAUUAUCCCCCCUUAUAGCCUCGGAUCUCGAUCCAACACUUACUCCAUAAGGCCUUAUAUGGUCUUAAACAAGCUCCUAGAGUUUGGUAUUCUAGUUUACAUUUGUUUUUAGUGAACAAUGGCUUUACUAAUAGCAAAACAGAUUCCUCCC
RNAcentral lists this long non-coding RNA (1631 nucleotides) under Zostera marina. RNAcentral describes it as "long non-coding RNA (ZMAR_LNC003469)". Lineage: Eukaryota; Viridiplantae; Streptophyta; Magnoliopsida; Alismatales; Zosteraceae. The record is from RNAcentral.